This 433-nucleotide ribosomal RNA is filed under the name uncultured bacterium. Its description in RNAcentral is "partial 16S ribosomal RNA". It matches the Rfam family "Bacterial small subunit ribosomal RNA", at positions 29 to 507 of the family's 1533-position model. The record is from RNAcentral.
AACGAACGCUGGCGGCAUGCCUAACACAUGCAAGUCGAACGAGACCUUCGGGUCUAGUGGCGCACGGGUGCGUAACGCGUGGUAACCUGCCCUUAGGUUCGGAAUAACUCCCCGAAAGGGGUGCUAAUACCGGAUAAUGUCUUCGGACCAAAGAUUUAUCGCCAUUGGAUGUGCCCGCGUUGGAUUAGAUAGUUGGUAGUGUAAAAGCCUACCAAGGCGACGAUCCAUAGCUGGUCUGAGAGGAUGAUCAGCCACACUGGGACUGAGACACGGCCCAGACUCCUACGGGAAGCAGAAGUGGGGAAUAGUGGACAAUGGGCGAAAGACUGAUCCAGCAAUGCCGCGUGAGUGAUGAAGGCCUUAGGGUUGGAAAGCUCUUUUAACCGGGAUGAUAAUGACAGUACCGGGAGAAUAAGCGCCGGCUAACUACGUG